RNAcentral lists this long non-coding RNA (356 nucleotides) under Equus caballus (horse). RNAcentral describes it as "lncRNA (ENSECAG00000057690.1)". Lineage: Eukaryota; Metazoa; Chordata; Mammalia; Perissodactyla; Equidae. The record is from RNAcentral.
GUUCUCCAGGUGGCUAUGCCUAAGGAACAUUGUAGGAGAGAAUGUGGUAGGUUCUGGAGAUCAGAAGUCCAAGAUCAAGGUGUCAGCAGAAUUGCUCCCUUCCGAGGACUAUGAGAAAGAAUGCGUUCCAUGCCUCACUCCCAGCUUCUGGUGCUUUGCUGAUGAGAAAAAGUGAGCUCCGAGAAGGAAAGUGACUUGCCCAGGGACACACACAAGGAUGUGGACAGCUGGGUGUGUUCUCCUCAUUUGGAACAGGGCAAGGAUUGUACGGGCUGCCUGUCCUGCAGGGCUGGGGGAGGAUGGAUGAGGGAGUGGAUAAUAAACAUCAAAUGCUGUCUGCUCUCGGCGGAGGGCGC